This 439-nucleotide RNase P RNA is filed under the name Limimonas halophila. Its description in RNAcentral is "Rhodospirillaceae bacterium Ia16 Bacterial RNase P class A". It matches the Rfam family "Bacterial RNase P class A". From Rfam's summary of the family: Ribonuclease P (RNase P) is a ubiquitous endoribonuclease, found in archaea, bacteria and eukarya as well as chloroplasts and mitochondria. Its best characterised activity is the generation of mature 5'-ends of tRNAs by cleaving the 5'-leader elements of precursor-tRNAs. Cellular RNase Ps are ribonucleoproteins. The record is from Rfam by way of RNAcentral. Lineage: Bacteria; Pseudomonadati; Pseudomonadota; Alphaproteobacteria; Rhodospirillales; Rhodovibrionaceae.
UCAGACGGCCGGACGGUCGCUCCCGCGUGCGCGCCACGCGGGGGAGGAAAGUCCGGGCUCCACGGAAGCACGGUGCCGGGUAACGCCCGGCGGGGGCGACCCCAGGGAAAGUGCCACAGAAAGCAUACCGCCGCGUACGGGGCGUACGGCGCACGUACACCCGCGCGGUAAGGGUGAAAGGGUGCGGUAAGAGCGCACCGCGCCCCUGGCAACAGGGGCGGCCAUGGUAAACCCCACCGGGAGCAAGACCAGAUAGGGGCGGCACGCCGGCCGGCACGCCCGGCCGGCAGGCGAGGCUUCCGCGCCGGCCGCCCGGGUCGGUCGCGCGAGGCGUCCGGUAACGGGCGUCCCAGAGGAAUGGCCGUCACCCGUGACAGGUGUGGGUUCGCCCUGGCCUGGCACGGGCCCACAGAACCCGGCUUACAGGCCGUCUGACCCC